AGAGUUUGAUCAUGGCUCAGAUUGAACGCUGGCGGCAGGCCUAACACAUGCAAGUCGAGCGGUAGCACAAGAGAGCUUGCUCUCUGGGUGACGAGCGGCGGACGGGUGAGUAAUGUCUGGGAAACUGCCUGAUGGCGGGGGAUAACUAGUGGAAACGGUAGCUAAUACCGCAUAACGUCGCAAGACCAAAGUGGGGGCCCUUCGGGCCUCACGCCAUCAGAUGUGCCCAGGUGGGAUUAGCUGGUAGGUGAGGUAACGGCUCACCUAGGCGACGAUCCCUAGCUGGUCUGAGAGGAUGACCAGCCACACUGGAACUGAGACACGGUCCAGACUCCUACGGGAGGCAGCAGUGGGGAAUAUUGCACAAUGGGCGCAAGCCUGAUGCAGC
RNAcentral lists this ribosomal RNA (388 nucleotides) under Serratia symbiotica. Its description in RNAcentral is "bacterial SSU rRNA". It matches the Rfam family "Bacterial small subunit ribosomal RNA", at positions 8 to 392 of the family's 1533-position model. Lineage: Bacteria; Pseudomonadati; Pseudomonadota; Gammaproteobacteria; Enterobacterales; Yersiniaceae. The record is from RNAcentral.